RNAcentral lists this unclassified non-coding RNA (315 nucleotides) under plant metagenome. RNAcentral describes it as "partial contains 5.8S ribosomal RNA, internal transcribed spacer 2, and large subunit ribosomal RNA". The stretch from base 1 to 105 matches the Rfam family "5.8S ribosomal RNA", at positions 50 to 154 of the family's 154-position model. The record is from RNAcentral.
GAACUGCGAUAAGUAAUGUGAAUUGCAGAAUUCAGUGAAUCAUCGAGUCUUUGAACGCACAUUGCGCCCCCUGGCAUUCCGGGGGGCAUGCCUGUCCGAGCGUCAUUGCUGCCCUUCAAGCCCGGCUUGUGUAUUGGGUCGUCGUCCCCUCCGGGGGACGGGCCCGAAAGGCAGCGGCGGCACCGCGUCCGGUCCUCGAGCGUAUGGGGCUUUGUCACCCGCUCGAUAAGGACCGGCCGGGCGCCAGCCGGCGUCUCCAACCUUUUUUUCUCAGGUUGACCUCGGAUCAGGUAGGGAUACCCGCUGAACUUAAGC